Molecule: RNA transcript, 2225 nt
Organism: Tribolium castaneum (red flour beetle)
Lineage: Eukaryota; Metazoa; Arthropoda; Insecta; Coleoptera; Tenebrionidae
Exons: 4
Source: RefSeq, a predicted model, not a curated record
GGCUGAUGGAAGGAAAAGCACAGCACACUUGGCGACCAACGGAUUGGCGCCAAAUUCGAAUUUUUGCAAACCGGCCAACUUCAUUGUUGGCAAUACGCGCUAUCAGUGUGACGUAGACAUUUGAGAGAAAUGAUAGCUAUGAAAAAUGCAAUGUCGUUUCUUAAAGAUUUUAGCAACUGAGCUAAUAUUUCUGUAAGUUGAACACAUAAAUCCUUUUCUAACCUAACUUUUUUCAAACUUCAAAAUUCAGUUUUUCUUAAUUUGGACAUCAUAUUGAUGUAAAUUAUUAUGUGGCCUUUUAAAACUGAGGGAAAAAUGGUUUGCCACACUAAUGACAUUGGAUUUCUUCUGAAUGACGAAUUCAUGGGGUGCAACCGGCGCAACCCCAAUAAACGGGUUGUUUUCUGUCCCCCUCCCCCAUCACGAGGGAUGAAUAGCAGGUAUACGAGGGUAGAGGGUUCAGGCACAUACAUGGUUGAAAGUAGUACGGGUUGUGAGUUCUGUGCUUCUUUCGUGAGUGUCUUUUGUUAUCGUGUUUUUUCCGAUCGUUCUCCAUAUCUUCGUGUUCUUGAAUUUUUAAAAUUCUGUUUUUCCAAGACAUUAUCUCAUUUUUGUGGUACAUCAUUAGGUAUGAUUUGUGAAUAAUAUUUUGUUGCGAUACUUUGAUAGUUCAUGUGUAGUAGGUUUUUACAUCACAACUAUGGGAAUGUGUUGGGCUCCAGAUUGCAAACACUAUAGUACUCGCGAUAAAUGCCAUUUUUUUAGUUUUCCUAAGUCGGGAAAAGAACGAGCACUAUGGAAAAAAUUGUUGAGAAGAGAUGUAGAACCCGGACCAGGAGCCUACGUUUGCAGCUGCCAUUUUCGGGAUGGAAGAAAGGAAAAUGGUCCUGAAUUAUUUUUGCACAAUAUCGCAAAAAGAGCCUAUUUUCAAGUGGAAUCUCCAGAAAAAAAAAAGAUGAAAAAACAAGGACUCCCUUCUUGUUCUAGUUCCGCUGAAUCAUUAAGUGUUGAUAUACCGGAAGAAACAGUACCAUCGACAAUGAAUUUAGAGGAAGUGCCAUCGACGUCUACAGCCGUAGUUGCAGCACCAGCAGAUAUAAUUCAAGAUGCUCCGUUAGAAUCUAUGGGUGUGCAAGCACCCUUGGUGUCACAUGCGGCUCUUGAAGCAGAAAUGUAUUUUCUCAAAAAGGAAAAUGCUGAACUUAAAGCAAAAAUACAAUAUCUGACAGUACGAUUUUGCUAUGAAAAUGUUCAAGGAAAUGACAAACUCAUUGUUUUAUAUACCGGUCUUCCCAAUAGCCAGAUUUUCGAAGCAUUGUUUCACUUAAUCGAAAAGUUGGACAUAAAAUAUUACCACAAAUGGACAGUCCAAAAGUUAACUAGAAUUGACCAACUCUUUUUAACCCUAGUAAAAUUACGACUCAAUUUCCCUCAACUUGAUUUGGCGCAACGCUUUGGGGUUGCCCAAAGCACAGUUUCUAAUAUUAUUUUAACAUUUGUCCAUGUAAUAUAUGAAAUUUUAUAUAAACAGUUUAUGACGACAAUGCCUUCGCGCGAAAAAAAUAAAUCUUGCUUGCCAACAUGUUUUAGCAAUUUUACUAAUUGUAGAGCAGUUCUAGAUUGUACCGAAAUUUUCACUGUGGUAUCACGUAAGUCUAUGUCAACACAGAAAUUAACAUAUAGUACUUACAAACAUCAUAAUACUUUCAAAGGGCUAAUUGGAGUUGCACCCAAUGGUGUCAUCACAUUUGUAAGUGAUUUAUACGUGGGAUCAACUUCUGAUCAAAAAGUUGUUUUAAAUUGUGGAAUAAUCGACAUGUUAAAAACUGGAGAUAUGAUUUUAGCCGAUAAGGGAUUUUUGAUCCAAAAUAUUCUGCCACCAGGGGUCACUUUGAAUAUUCCACCUUUUUUAUCAAAUGUCCAAUUUACACCAGAGCAAGUUAAGUGUACCGAAAAUAUUGCACGUGCAAGAAUACACGUCGAAAGGGCAAUACGCCGAUUAAAAUGUUAUCAUAUUUUAAAUUUUUUGCCAGAGUCUUUGUGCCACUAUGGAGAUAUUGUUUUUAAAGCGACUGCCGCUUUAACAAACCUCCAAUUUCCAUUAAUUAAAGAGGUAGCAGAAUUGUUUCAGGAUUGUGAUGAUUAAAAUAAUGUAAAAUAAAAACCAUCUAUUUAUAUACAGUUUAUUAUUGUGAAAUAAAGGAAAUAUAUUGGUCAAGAUAAAA